GUGACUGCUUGUGAAACCAAGAAGACGCAUACGUCACUGUUUUGCCGCUAUCAGUAACGAAACACGAUUUCAAUUUUAAAUGUAUUUCCAAACACGAUUUUACUUUGAAUUAAUUUUGGGGGAACUGAAUUAAGUUUUAUGCUUUUAAAAUCGUAUUAUGGUGAAAGCUAGUUCUUUGUGUGAAAUAAAUGUAUUUUUUUCAGAUUGGAUAAAAUAAUUAAACUAUAUUUAAGUGUUUGAGCAGCGUACAGUAGAUUACUUUAGCCAAUCUGAAAUGGCAUUUCUGCAGGUACUGAUUCUGUGUUCUGGUUGGAAGAAUGGGAUAAGGACCCAUAGGGAUCACCAGCUCCAUAUAUGGUCUCACUUCCACGAUUCAAGCACCUGCGCCACUUUAUGUUUUAGAGCCAUCUGUGGUAGCCUUGGUGGGGUUGCAACUAAGGCCCAUUCCAUCAUACCGGUUUCCCACUAUGUUCAGAGCAGCAUUGGUCAGUUCUGUGACUGUUGUGUUGAACUUGCCACUCACAAGAAUCACAAUGUCAUGUGUGUACCCCUGUUCAAAGACACAAGCAGGUCGUCUGCAACUAGGUUCCACAGAAGAUGAGAAAGGUCGCCACCCUGGGGACAACCCCUUGUAGUACUUGCACUGAUGCUCAUUCCAAAAGUUUGGUAUCCACCUUAACACUGUGAGUAGGGCCCUUAUUAAGUCACAUAUUUUACUAUCAAUACUAUGUCUCGAGGAGACCGUAUUGAAAAUCGCCGGAGUUUCUGUUUUGUUAAAAGCUCCUUCGAUGUCCAGAAAGACACCUAUAGCUUAUUCUUUUGCUACUAGCGCCUUCUCAAUCCUGCAUACCAAUUAAUGCAGGACUGAGUCGCAUUAUCUUUCUGGAGUGAAAGCAUGUUCAUUUGGAUGGAACUAUAACUACUAUAAUUUUUAAAAAACCUACAACAUAAUUCUGACCAACAAUUUGGUUUUGUAUUAUUCAUUAGUUUAGAUAUUGAGAAAUAUUGAUGAUUUGAUUGUCUUGGUGGUCACUUAUUAUACUGCAGCCGUUCGUUAUUUAUCUUGGAACAAAUUUUUAAGCUUACAAGAAAUAUUAUUUUUAUAUUGAUAUUUAAGUUACAUUCACUAGAAAAUGCACAACAAUAGGCUUAUAUGAUUUUGUUCGAACGUAUCAGUUUAUAUUUUUACAAAAAGGCUUGCUUGCAGAGUGCUGAUUAGAGAGGGUCAUUUUCAAUAAUCUUAUUAUCAUCCUAUACUGAUAGUUCAAGUAGUAUUAAAAUCAAGAUAAGUUAUCUAUUUACAUUUAUAUAUAAUACAAAUUGACAACUAUAAGAGGUAUGAGAUAUUAUGUGCAAAACUUAUAAAAAUUCUUUUUCAUUAUUCUAGCCAACGAAGACAUAUAUUUCAAAUUCUGAUUCUUCGAGAGAAUUAAAAUCACUGUCUACUCAGCUAGACAAUUGGAUACAAGAAGAAAGGUCAAAAACAAAAACUUUGGAGUAUAUGAGAAUUGCCAAACAGCGAAAUAAAAUUGAAGAAUUGGAAAUAAAGAGUAAAAUAAUGGAGGUAAAGAAUAAAUUACCAAGAACCCGAUCCCAACCAAAAGCAGUUAAUAAUAAAGCUUCUGAAGUGGUACAAGACAGUAGUGUAACACUUUGUGAUGACCCCGAAAUUGUAAACAAAACCAGGUUGGACUUGAAUGUUGAACAUGAUUAUCGUUACUAGUACCAAGUGGAAGAAGAAGAGAGUGAAGAAUCAGAUUAAAAAAUUCACAUUCAUUGAACUAUUAACUCCAGAUGCUUCAUGCUAAUAGAUCUAGCUUGAACUUUCACUUGAAAGACUUGAGAAGAUUUCAGAAGAUUCAAAUAUGAGUCGAUUAUCUGUGAUUUCCAUUAUAAUUGUAUACUACGAUGAAGUUAACAAAGAAUGCAUUUUUAAAAUUGUAAAUACUUUUUUUAAAGUUUUUAAUAAAUGUGUUUAAAAAAUAA
Homalodisca vitripennis (glassy-winged sharpshooter) is the source of this 1986-nucleotide long non-coding RNA. RefSeq lists it as uncharacterized. The transcript is spliced from 2 exons. The record is from RefSeq and is a predicted model, not a curated record. NCBI's taxonomy places the organism in Eukaryota, Metazoa, Arthropoda, Insecta, Hemiptera, Cicadellidae.